Molecule: transfer RNA, 72 nt
Filed under: Candidatus Viridilinea mediisalina
Lineage: Bacteria; Bacillati; Chloroflexota; Chloroflexia; Chloroflexales; Oscillochloridaceae
Also listed under: 1 other name
Rfam family: tRNA
About the family: Transfer RNA (tRNA) molecules are approximately 80 nucleotides in length. Their secondary structure includes four short double-helical elements and three loops (D, anti-codon, and T loops).
Source: Rfam by way of RNAcentral
GGGCCGGUAGCUCAGUGGCAGAGCACCUGACUUUUAAUCAGAGGGUCGUGGGUUCGAUCCCCACCCGGCUCA